UUUUAUGGAGAGUUUGAUCCUGGCUCAGGAUGAACGCUGGCGGCGUGCCUAAUACAUGCAAGUCGAGCGAACGGACGAGAAGCUUGCUUCUCUGAUGUUAGCGGCGGACGGGUGAGUAACACGUGGAUAACCUACCUAUAAGACUGGGAUAACUUCGGGAAACCGGAGCUAAUACCGGAUAAUAUUUUGAACCGCAUGGUUCAAAAGUGAAAGACGGUCUUGCUGUCACUUAUAGAUGGAUCCGCGCUGCAUUAGCUAGUUGGUAAGGUAACGGCUUACCAAGGCAACGAUGCAUAGCCGACCUGAGAGGGUGAUCGGCCACACUGGAACUGAGACACGGUCCAGACUCCUACGGGAGGCAGCAGUAGGGAAUCUUCCGCAAUGGGCGAAAGCCUGACGGAGCAACGCCGCGUGAGUGAUGAAGGUCUUCGGAUCGUAAAACUCUGUUAUUAGGGAA
RNAcentral lists this ribosomal RNA (457 nucleotides) under Staphylococcus aureus. RNAcentral's name for it is "bacterial SSU rRNA". It matches the Rfam family "Bacterial small subunit ribosomal RNA", at positions 1 to 446 of the family's 1533-position model. Lineage: Bacteria; Bacillati; Bacillota; Bacilli; Caryophanales; Staphylococcaceae. The record is from RNAcentral.